GACGAACGCUGGCGGCGUGCUUAACACAUGCAAGUCGAACGGUGAAGGGGUCUGCUUUUGUGGGCCCUGGAUGAGUGGCGAACGGGUGAGUAACACGUGAGUAACCUGCCCCCUUCUUCUGGAUAACCGCAUGAAAGUGUGGCUAAUACGGGAUAUUCUGGGUCUGUCGCAUGAUGGGUCUGGGAAAGAUUGCGCCUUUGGGUGUUUUUGGUGGGGGAUGGGCUCGCGGCCUAUCAGCUUGUUGGUGGGGUGAUGGCCUACCAAGGCGGUGACGGGUAGCCGGGCUGGGAGGGUGGACGGUCACACUGGGACUGAGACACGGCCCAGACUCCUACGGGAGGCAGCAGUGGGGAAUAUUGCACAAUGGGCGCAAGCCUGAUGCAGCGACGCCGCGUGAGGGAGGGAGGCCUUCGGGUUGUAAACCUCUUUCGCCAGUGAAGCAGGCCUGCUCCUUGUGGGUGGGUUGACGGUAGCUGGAGAAGAAGCGCCGGCUAACUACGUG
This 502-nucleotide ribosomal RNA is filed under the name uncultured bacterium. RNAcentral's name for it is "partial 16S ribosomal RNA". It matches the Rfam family "Bacterial small subunit ribosomal RNA", at positions 28 to 507 of the family's 1533-position model. The record is from RNAcentral.